This 497-nucleotide ribosomal RNA is filed under the name uncultured bacterium. Its description in RNAcentral is "partial 16S ribosomal RNA". It matches the Rfam family "Bacterial small subunit ribosomal RNA", at positions 28 to 507 of the family's 1533-position model. The record is from RNAcentral.
GAUGAACGCUGGCGGCGUGCCUAAUACAUGCAAGUCGAGCGAACAGACGAGGAGCUUGCUCCUCUGACGUUAGCGGCGGACGGGUGAGUAACACGUGGAUAACCUACCUAUAAGACUGGGAUAACUUCGGGAAACCGGAGCUAAUACCGGAUAAUAUAUUGAACCGCAUGGUUCAAUAGUGAAAGACGGUUUUGCUGUCACUUAUAGAUGGAUCCGCGCCGCAUUAGCUAGUUGGUAAGGUAACGGCUUACCAAGGCAACGCUGCGUAGCCGACAUGAGAGGAUGGUCCGCCACACUGGAGGGGAGAAACGGUCGUGACUACUACAGGAGGAAGCAGUUGCGAAUCUUCGGCAAUAGGCGAAAGCCUAACGCAGCAACGACGCGUGAGUGAUGAAGGUCUACGACUCCUAAAACUCUGUUAUUAGGGAAGAACAAAUGUGUAAGUAACUAUGCACGUCUUGACGGUACCUAAUCAGAAAGCCACGGCUAACUACGUG